GACGAACGCUGGCGGCGUGCUUAACACAUGCAAGUCGAACGGAAAGGCCCUGCUUUUGUGGGGUGCUCGAGUGGCGAACGGGUGAGUAACACGUGAGUAACCUGCCCUUGACUUUGGGAUAACUUCAGGAAACUGGGGCUAAUACCGGAUAGGAGCUCCUGCUGCAUGGUGGGGGUUGGAAAGUUUCGGCGGUUGGGGAUGGACUCGCGGCUUAUCAGCUUGUUGGUGGGGUAGUGGCUUACCAAGGCUUUGACGGGUAGCCGGCCUGAGAGGGUGACCGGCCACAUUGGGACUGAGAUACGGCCCAGACUCCUACGGGGGGCAGCAGUGGGGAAUAUUGCACAAUGAGCGGAAGCCUGAUGCAGCAACGCCGCGUGCGGGAUGACGGCCUUCGGGUUGUAAACCGCUUUCGCCUGUGACGAAGCGUGAGUGACGGUAAUGGGUAAAGAAGCACCGGCUAACUACGUG
Molecule: ribosomal RNA, 468 nt
Filed under: uncultured bacterium
Lineage: Bacteria
Description: partial 16S ribosomal RNA
Rfam family: Bacterial small subunit ribosomal RNA
Source: RNAcentral